Long non-coding RNA from Nematostella vectensis (starlet sea anemone), 267 nucleotides. RefSeq lists it as uncharacterized. Lineage: Eukaryota; Metazoa; Cnidaria; Anthozoa; Actiniaria; Edwardsiidae. The record is from RefSeq and is a predicted model, not a curated record. The transcript has 3 exons.
GGUAGUCAUAGUGUUGGGCCAAGGUGGAUGGUAGUCAUAGUGUUGGGCCAAGGUGGAUGGUAGUAAUAGUGUUGGGCCAAGGUGGAUGGUAGUAAUAGUGUUGGGCCAAGGUGGAUGGUAGUCAUAGUGUUGGGCCAAGGUGGAUGGUAGUCAUAGUGUUGGGCCAAGGUGGAUGGUAGUAAUAGUGUUGGGCCAAGGUGGAUGGUAGUAAUAGUGUUGGGCCAAGGUGGAUGGUAGUAAUAGUGUUGGGCCAAGGUGGAUGGUAGU